GGCUGUCUGGCGAAAUGGUAUCGCGUCUGACUACGUUAUACUUAUUGUUUCUACCCCGCUGUAAUCAGGAGGCUCUAGGUUCGACCCCUAGGAUGGCCU
Molecule: non-coding RNA, 99 nt
Organism: Mycena rebaudengoi
Lineage: Eukaryota; Fungi; Basidiomycota; Agaricomycetes; Agaricales; Mycenaceae
Source: the annotation of a GenBank genome assembly